UCAUGUAUUAUUUUUUACCCCAAAAUUAUGGUCGACCGAUUAUGUAACCCGUUGAUUAUAUAAAAAAAACUUCAUUUAUACCAACAAAUAAAUUUACAAUUUGAAUCUUGUUAUUAUAAAUCAAUUAGUACCCAACAAAAAAAUCGAAAAACACAAUCAUUAACAUCAUCAUCAGUAUACAUCAGAAGAAACGCAUAUCUUUUAUAUAAAAAUAUAUAAUUACAUGCUACUAAACGUGACUAUAUAUAAUUACAUGUAUAUGACAAUAUGUGACUAUAUAUGACUACAUGUAUAUGACCAUAUGUGACUAUAUAUGACUACAUGUAUAUGACCAUAUGUGACUAUAUAUGACUACAUGUAUAUGAUCAUAUGUGACUAUAUAUAACUACAUGUGACUAACUAUAUGAGUAUAGUCAUGUAUAGUAUAAUUUUGAAUUUAUAGCUUCAAAUCUCACUUUUCAACCCGACAACAACUCCGAUCUAUCGAAACUAGAACACUAAAAGCAGGCUCGGUUCGAUCCCAAACCAAAUAAAACGUAAAAUAAAUAAAAAAAAAGGAGAAAAUCCACCCCCUAUGAAACCCUUCCCCGUCGCCACACCUGGCCACCGCAAGCUCCUCGUCGACCGCUCAAAACUGUUACACAUAAAAUACUAAUACUAUCAAAUUCAUUCGCCAUUGAAUCCUAUAAUGUUGACUUCAUAAAUAUUAAUAAUUAAAAGAAAUGUCAAGGCUCACAAUCCACUCUCUCCAACACACACACAGGCGAUGGAAGAGGCGCGGCGGCGGAGAUUACGCAGGUGAUGGGCAAGCGGCGAUGGGAGGCAAGAGAUAAAGAGAAAAUGAUGGAAUAUCUCUGCGCCUUAUUCUUAGCAUCUCAUAAUGUUAUACAAAGCAAAACCUGUGACAAAAAGAAAUACAAGUUAAAGAGCAAAGUGGAACAUGCGAGUUAGAUUAUAUGAAAAAUACAAAAAAA
RNAcentral lists this long non-coding RNA (974 nucleotides) under Erythranthe guttata (spotted monkey flower). RNAcentral's name for it is "long non-coding RNA (EGUT_LNC002951)". The record is from RNAcentral. Lineage: Eukaryota; Viridiplantae; Streptophyta; Magnoliopsida; Lamiales; Phrymaceae.